RNAcentral lists this ribosomal RNA (483 nucleotides) under uncultured bacterium. Its description in RNAcentral is "partial 16S ribosomal RNA". It matches the Rfam family "Bacterial small subunit ribosomal RNA", at positions 29 to 523 of the family's 1533-position model. The record is from RNAcentral.
AAUGAACGUUGGCGGCGUGGAUUAGGCAUGCGAGUCGAGCGAGAACCGUAGCAAUACGGGGACAGCGGCGAAAGGGACAGUAACGGGUAGAUUAUCUGCCCUCAGGUUUGGGAUAGCUGCGGGAAACUGCAAGUAAUACCAAAUAAUAUCUCCGGAUCAAAGGUGUGAUUCCGCCUGAGGAUGAGUCUGCCUCCUAUUAGCUAGUUGGGGGGGUAACGGCCUACCAAGGCGUGGAUGGGGAGCGGGUGUGCGAGCACGACCCGCGUCAUUGGGACUGAGACACUGCCCAGACACCUACGGGUGGCUGCAGUCGAGAAUCUUCGGCAAUGGACGCAAGUCUGACCGAGCGACGCCGCGUGUGGGAUGAAGGCCUUCGGGUUGUAAACCACUGUCAGAGGGGAUGAAAUGCAGGUGGGUUCUCCCAUCUGUUUGACAUAGCCUCAGAGGAAGUACGGGCUAAGUUCGUGCCAGCAGCCGCGGUAA